This 280-nucleotide non-coding RNA is filed under the name Streptomyces sp. NRRL S-1521. RNAcentral describes it as "Streptomyces sRNA 4677". It matches the Rfam family "Streptomyces sRNA 4677". From Rfam's summary of the family: Located in the intergenic region between anti-sigma factor SCO4677 gene and a putative regulatory protein gene SCO4676. scr4677 expression requires the SCO4677 activity and scr4677 sRNA itself seem to affect the levels of the SCO4676-associated transcripts. Lineage: Bacteria; Bacillati; Actinomycetota; Actinomycetes; Kitasatosporales; Streptomycetaceae. The record is from Rfam by way of RNAcentral.
UGCUCCGGUGGCGUCGGCGCCUGACCCCUGAAGAACCAGGAGGGAAAGAACCGCACCAAGCCCCACCAGGCCCCGCUGUCACCCGGCCGGGCCCACUCACUCCCCCGGGUGAACAUCACCGUCUGGACUGACUUUCGGGCCCCCGGCUCCCCUGCGCUCAGCGCCAACGGCCGCCGCGCAUAUGCCACGACGCCGCACCUCUAGACAUACGACGGCCUCCGCCGGGACUGGCAUCCCCUAUGGCGGGGGCCUGACCACCAAGGAAGAAGACAGCUUCCCG